Molecule: ribosomal RNA, 870 nt
Filed under: uncultured Bacteroidota bacterium
Lineage: Bacteria; Pseudomonadati; Bacteroidota
Description: bacterial SSU rRNA
Rfam family: Bacterial small subunit ribosomal RNA
Source: RNAcentral
UUAACACAUGCAAGUCGAGGGGAAACGACAUCGAAAGCUUGCUUUUGAUGGGCGUCGACCGGCGCACGGGUGAGUAACGCGUAUCCAACCUGCCCACCACUUGGGGAUAACCUUGCGAAAGUAAGACUAAUACCCAAUGACGUCUCUAGAAGACAUCUGAAAGAGAUUAAAGAUUUAUCGGUGAUGGAUGGGGAUGCGUCUAAUUAGCUUGUUGGCGGGGUAACGGCCCACCAAGGCAACGAUCAGUAGGGGUUCUGAGAGGAAGGUCCCCCACAUUGGAACUGAGACACGGUCCAAACUCCUACGGGAGGCAGCAGUGAGGAAUAUUGGUCAAUGGACGAGAGUCUGAACCAGCCAAGUAGCGUGCAGGAUGAUGGCCCUAUGGGUUGUAAACUGCUUUUAUAAGGGAAUAAAGUGAGUCUCGUGAGACUUUUUGCAUGUACCUUAUGAAUAAGGACCGGCUAAUUCCGUGCCAGCAGCCGCGGUAAUACGGAAGGUCCGGGCGUUAUCCGGAUUUAUUGGGUUUAAAGGGAGCGUAGGCCGGAGAUUAAGCGUGUUGUGAAAUGUAGACGCUCAACGUCUGCACUGCAGCGCGAACUGGUUUCCUUGAGUACGCACAAAGUGGGCGGAAUUCGUGGUGUAGCGGUGAAAUGCUUAGAUAUCACGAAGAACUCCGAUUGCGAAGGCAGCUCACUGGAGCGCAACUGACGCUGAAGCUCGAAAGUGCGGGUAUCGAACAGGAUUAGAUACCCUGGUAGUCCGCACGGUAAACGAUGGAUGCCCGCUGUUGGUCUGAAUAGGUCAGCGGCCAAGCGAAAGCAUUAAGCAUCCCACCUGGGGAGUACGCCGGCAACGGUGCAACUCAAAGGA